Molecule: ribosomal RNA, 468 nt
Filed under: uncultured bacterium
Lineage: Bacteria
Description: partial 16S ribosomal RNA
Rfam family: Bacterial small subunit ribosomal RNA
Source: RNAcentral
GAUGAACGCUGGCGGCGUGCUUAACACAUGCAAGUCGAACGGAAAGGCCCAAGCUUGCUUGGGUACUCGAGUGGCGAACGGGUGAGUAACACGUGGGUGAUCUGCCCUGCACUUCGGGAUAAGCCUGGGAAACUGGGUCUAAUACCGGAUAGGACCACGUCUUGGAUGUUGUGGUGGAAAGUUUUUUCGGUGUGGGAUGAGCUCGCGGCCUAUCAGCUUGUUGGUGGGGUAAUGGCCUACCAAGGCGUCGACGGGUAGCCGGCCUGAGAGGGUGUACGGCCACAUUGGGACUGAGAUACGGCCCAGACUCCUACGGGAGGCAGCAGUGGGGAAUAUUGGACAAUGGGCGCAAGCCUGAUGCAGCGACGCCGCGUGGGGGAUGACGGCCUUCGGGUUGUAAACUCCUUUCGCUAGGGACGAAGCGUUUUUGUGACGGUACCUGGAGAAGAAGCACCGGCUAACUACGUG